RNAcentral lists this ribosomal RNA (389 nucleotides) under uncultured Bacteroides sp. Its description in RNAcentral is "bacterial SSU rRNA". It matches the Rfam family "Bacterial small subunit ribosomal RNA", at positions 523 to 914 of the family's 1533-position model. The record is from RNAcentral. Lineage: Bacteria; Pseudomonadati; Bacteroidota; Bacteroidia; Bacteroidales; Bacteroidaceae.
AUACGGAGGAUCCAAGCGUUAUCCGGAUUUAUUGGGUUUAAAGGGAGCGUAGGUUGACAUAUAAGUCAGCUGUGAAAGUUUACGGCUCAACCGUGAAAUUGCAGUUGAUACUGUAUGUCUUGAGUGUACAAGAGGUGGGCGGAAUUCGUGGUGUAGCGGUGAAAUGCUUAGAUAUCACGAAGAACUCCAAUUGCGAAGGCAGCUCACUGGGGUACAACUGACACUGAGGCUCGAAAGUGUGGGUAUCAAACAGGAUUAGAUACCCUGGUAGUCCACACAGUAAACGAUGAAUACUCGCUGUUUGCGAUAUACAGUAAGCGGCCAAGCGAAAGCAUUAAGUAUUCCACCUGGGGAGUACGCCGGCAACGGUGAAACUCAAAGGAAUUGAC